GUACACUCCUACGGGAGGCAGCAGUGGGGAAUUUUGGACAAUGGGGGCAACCCUGAUCCAGCAAUGCCGCGUGAGUGAAGAAGGCCUUCGGGUUGUAAAGCUCUUUUGUCAGGGAAGAAACGGUGGUGGCGAAUAACUACUACUAAUGACGGUACCUGAAGAAUAAGCACCGGCUAACUACGUGCCAGCAGCCGCGGUAAUACGUAGGGUGCAAGCGUUAAUCGGAAUUACUGGGCGUAAAGCGUGCGCAGGCGGUUGUGUAAGUCAGAUGUGAAAUCCCCGGGCUCAACCUGGGAAUUGCAUUUGAGACUGCACGGCUAGAGUGUGUCAGAGGGGGGUAGAAUUCCACGUGUAGCAGUGAAAUGCGUAGAUAUGUGGAGGAAUACCGAUGGCGAAGGCAGCCCCCUGGGAUAACACUGACGCUCAUGCACGAAAGCGUGGGGAGCAAACAGGAUUAGAAACCCGAGUAGUCCCAUG
Molecule: ribosomal RNA, 477 nt
Filed under: uncultured organism
Description: partial 16S ribosomal RNA
Rfam family: Bacterial small subunit ribosomal RNA
Source: RNAcentral